UGUAUUCAUACUGUCUGAGCUG
RNAcentral lists this microRNA (22 nucleotides) under Ciona intestinalis (vase tunicate). Its description in RNAcentral is "cin-miR-4185-3p". Lineage: Eukaryota; Metazoa; Chordata; Ascidiacea; Phlebobranchia; Cionidae. The record is from miRBase by way of RNAcentral.